This 253-nucleotide ribosomal RNA is filed under the name uncultured bacterium. RNAcentral's name for it is "partial 16S ribosomal RNA". It matches the Rfam family "Bacterial small subunit ribosomal RNA", at positions 524 to 776 of the family's 1533-position model. The record is from RNAcentral.
UACGUAGGGUGCGAGCGUUAAUCGGAAUUACUGGGCGUGAAGCGUGCGCAGGCGGUUUUGUAAGCCAGAUGUGAAAUCCCCGGGCUUAACCUGGGAAUGGCAUUUGGGACUGCAAGGCUUGAGUGCGGCAGAGGAGACUGGAAUUCCUGGUGUAGCAGUGAAAUGCGUAGAUAUCAGGAGGAACACCGAUGGCGAAGGCAGGUCUCUGGGCUGACACUGACGCUCAUGCACGAAAGCGUGGGGAGCAAACAGG